Molecule: ribosomal RNA, 763 nt
Filed under: Pseudomonas sp.
Lineage: Bacteria; Pseudomonadati; Pseudomonadota; Gammaproteobacteria; Pseudomonadales; Pseudomonadaceae
Also listed under: 1 other name
Description: bacterial SSU rRNA
Rfam family: Bacterial small subunit ribosomal RNA
Source: RNAcentral
GUGAAUGCGGCAGGCCUAACACAUGCAAGUCGAGCGGCUGCACGGGUACUUGUACCUGGUGGCGAGCGGCAGACGGGUGAGUAGUGCCUAAGAAUCUGCGUGGUAGUGGGGGAUAACGCUCGGAAACGGACGCUAAUACCGCAUACCUCCUACGGGAAAAAGCGGGAGACCUUCGGGCCUUGCUCUAUCAUAUGACCCUAUGUCAGAUUAUCUAUUUGGUGAGGUAGUGGCUCACCAGCGCGACUAUCCAUAAGUGCUCAGAGAAGAUGAUCACUCACUCUGGAACUGACACACGCUCCACACUCCUACGGGAGGCAACUGUGGAGAAUAUUGGACAGUGGGCAAAACCCUGAUCCACCCAUGCCGCGUGUGUGAAAAGUGUCUUCAGAUUGUAAAGCUUUUUAUUUUGAGAAGAAGGGCUUUUACCUAAUACUUUUGUGUUUUGACUUUACCGACAAAAUACACCCCCGCUAACUCUGUGCCAACCCCCGCGGUAAUACAGAGGGUGCAAGCUUUAAUCAAAAUUAGUGGGCGUAAAGCGCGCAUAUGUGUUUUGUUAAUUUAUAUGUGAAAUCCCCGGGCUCACCCUGGGAACUGCAUCCAAAACUGGCAAUCUAGAAUAGGGUAGAGGGUGGUGAAAUUUCCUGUGUAGCGGUGAAAUGCAUAUAUAUAAGAAAGAACACCUGUGGCGAGCGCGACCACGUGCUCAUAUUCUGACUCUGAUGUGCAAAAGCGUGGAGCACAAACAAGAAUAUAUACCGUC